GCUGGGCAUUGUGGCACAUGUCUAUAAUCCCAGCUACUUGGGAGGCUGAGGCAGGAGGAUCACAAGUUCAGGCUAGCCUGGGCAACUUAGUGAAACCCUGUCUCAA
This 106-nucleotide small RNA is filed under the name Marmota monax (woodchuck). The record is from RNAcentral. Lineage: Eukaryota; Metazoa; Chordata; Mammalia; Rodentia; Sciuridae.